GAUGAACGCUGGCGGCGUGCCUAAUACAUGCAAGUCGAGCGAACGGACGAGAAGCUUGCUUCUCUGAUGUUAGCGGCGGACGGGUGAGUAACACGUGGAUAACCUACCUAUAAGACUGGGAUAACUUCGGGAAACCGGAGCUAAUACCGGAUAAUAUUUUGAACCGCAUGGUUCAAAAGUGAAAGACGGUCUUGCUGUCACUUAUAGAUGGAUCAGCGCUGCAUUAGCUAGUUGGUAAGGUAACGGCUUACCAAGGCAGCGAGGCAUAGCCGACCUGAGAGGGUGAUCGGCCAGACUGGAACUGAGACACGGCACAGACUCCUACGGGAGGCAGCAGUAGGGAAUCUUCCGCAAUGGGCGAAUGCCUGACGGAGCAACGCCGCGUGAGUGAUGAAGGUCUUCGGAUCGUAAAACGCUGUUAUUAGGGAAGAACAUAUGUGUAAGUAACUGUGCACAUCUUGACGGUACCUAAUCAGAAAGCCACGGCUAACUACGUG
This 497-nucleotide ribosomal RNA is filed under the name uncultured bacterium. RNAcentral's name for it is "partial 16S ribosomal RNA". It matches the Rfam family "Bacterial small subunit ribosomal RNA", at positions 28 to 507 of the family's 1533-position model. The record is from RNAcentral.